RNAcentral lists this ribosomal RNA (269 nucleotides) under uncultured prokaryote. RNAcentral's name for it is "partial 16S ribosomal RNA". It matches the Rfam family "Bacterial small subunit ribosomal RNA", at positions 524 to 792 of the family's 1533-position model. The record is from RNAcentral.
UACGUAGGAGGCAAGCGUUAUUCGGAUUUACUGGGCGUAAAGAGGGCGCAGGUGGCUUUUCAAGUCGGGUGUAAAAUCUCCCUGCUCAACGGGGAGGGAUCAUCCGAUACUGCUAGGCUAGAGGGCAGCAGAGGGAGGUAGAAUUUCCGGUGUAGUGGUGAAAUACGUAGAUAUCGGGAAGAAUACCAGUGGCGAAGGCGGCCUCCUAGGCUGUUUCUGACACUGAGGCCCGAAAGCGUGGGGAGCGAACAGGAUUAGAUACCCCCGUA